RNAcentral lists this ribosomal RNA (476 nucleotides) under Enterococcus faecium. RNAcentral describes it as "bacterial SSU rRNA". It matches the Rfam family "Bacterial small subunit ribosomal RNA", at positions 1 to 455 of the family's 1533-position model. Lineage: Bacteria; Bacillati; Bacillota; Bacilli; Lactobacillales; Enterococcaceae. The record is from RNAcentral.
UUUUAUGAGAGUUUGAUCCUGGCUCAGGACGAACGCUGGCGGCGUGCCUAAUACAUGCAAGUCGAACGCUUCUUUUUCCACCGGAGCUUGCUCCACCGGAAAAAGAGGAGUGGCGAACGGGUGAGUAACACGUGGGUAACCUGCCCAUCAGAAGGGGAUAACACUUGGAAACAGGUGCUAAUACCGUAUAACAAUCGAAACCGCAUGGUUUUGAUUUGAAAGGCGCUUUCGGGUGUCGCUGAUGGAUGGACCCGCGGUGCAUUAGCUAGUUGGUGAGGUAACGGCUCACCAAGGCCACGAUGCAUAGCCGACCUGAGAGGGUGAUCGGCCACAUUGGGACUGAGACACGGCCCAAACUCCUACGGGAGGCAGCAGUAGGGAAUCUUCGGCAAUGGACGAAAGUCUGACCGAGCAACGCCGCGUGAGUGAAGAAGGUUUUCGGAUCGUAAAACUCUGUUGUUAGAGAAGAACAAGGA